CUAUUGUUGAUAAAGGGCUACCACUCAGAGUUGAGCCUGUGGGGUCCCCUACAGGAUAGCUCCCGCAUUACACUAAUGGCCAAAACCAGCGCACACACACAUGAUCUCAGUUGUCUGUCCGUCAUCGUAGAAUCCUCUUCGGGCAUUCAACGUUCAGCUACAACGGAGAUCAUGUGUGUGUGCGCUGGUUUUGGCCAUUAGUGUAAUGCGGGAGCUAUCCUGUAGGGGACCCCACAGGCUCAACUCUGAGUUGUAGCCCCCCCUUAACAAUAGUUUGGUCACCUACAUAAGAAAUAGCAUUUCUCUACAAAACCCUCUCUUCACGUCUCACAAGAGACGUGACACAACCUAACUGGAUCCAGACACAAAGAGAAACUUCUCCCAAGGGGACUAUGAAAUAAGGCACGGUUUUAAACAGAAAUAGAUAUAUAUGUAUUACAUCAUGUUCUCCAUUCAAUCCCACUAUGUACUAAGUUGGCUACCAGCCACCUAGGAACUUACAACCCUCAUUUUACAGAGCGGAGAACAACAGCUCAAAAUAAAAGUAAAUGCUUGUCUACAUAAGCCAACUUUUUUCCCGCAGGAAAAAGUUGUGAUUCCCUCUCUUCACAUCUCCAAAGAGAUGUGACUUAAACUAGGCAAGUCAGGCGGAAUGAUCCACUUGCAUAACACAUACAUACAUCCCCAUAAGGCAACAGCAGAUAUAAUGUAAACCUAAAUAGGCACUCUCCUCCUCAUCCUUGAAUUCAAGUAGGUCUUUAUCCAGCAGAGGAAACAUCUGGGAGGGGGAGGAAGGGUCAAUGGCUCUAGAGAUAACCCU
RNAcentral lists this long non-coding RNA (820 nucleotides) under Oncorhynchus kisutch (coho salmon). RNAcentral's name for it is "lncRNA (ENSOKIG00005044171.1)". Lineage: Eukaryota; Metazoa; Chordata; Actinopteri; Salmoniformes; Salmonidae. The record is from RNAcentral.